This 617-nucleotide ribosomal RNA is filed under the name Tuber arnoldianum. RNAcentral's name for it is "eukaryotic LSU rRNA". The stretch from base 238 to 391 matches the Rfam family "5.8S ribosomal RNA". Lineage: Eukaryota; Fungi; Ascomycota; Pezizomycetes; Pezizales; Tuberaceae. The record is from RNAcentral.
GCGGAAGGAUCAUUAGAAAUAUCUGGGAUGCUCAAUAUGAGUUCCCAACAAAACACAUUCAUGCGUAUUCUUCCGUGUGUUUCCCCAGACCAAUGGCCAGUACGUACCAUCUUGGCCCAUAACAGGGUAUCCAGCUGGUGUACAGCCGCGUGUGUCUGGGAAGGCCCAAAUUGGCAAAACUUUAUGUUAACUUACUGUCUGACAAGGCCAUGUGCCCCUGUAUUUUAAAUAUUUUAAAACUUUCAACAACGGAUCUCUUGGCUCUCGCAUCGAUGAAGAACGCAGCGAAAUGCGAUAAGUAAUGUGAAUUGCAGAAUUCAGUGAAUCAUCGAAUCUUUGAACGCACAUUGCGCCCUUUGGUAUUCCUUAGGGCAUGCCUGUUCGAGCGUCACUAAAAACCCCAUCACAUUAUGUGUGGUAUUGGCAGAAGUGGGUACUCCCACCCUGCUGGAAUCAAUAGGCUGGAAAAGUAGAUCGUAGCAACAGACUUUCAGAGUGUUUUGAAAUGCUAAAUUAGUUUGAAGCUGGUCGGAACCCCAGGCCAUUUGACCCCCAUUCUGCACAAAGCAGUAAGGUUGACCUCGGAUCAGGUAGGGAUACCCGCUGAACUUAAGCAU